This is a long non-coding RNA of Thalassophryne amazonica, 1047 nucleotides long. RefSeq lists it as uncharacterized. The record is from RefSeq and is a predicted model, not a curated record. The transcript has 2 exons. NCBI's taxonomy places the organism in Eukaryota, Metazoa, Chordata, Actinopteri, Batrachoidiformes, Batrachoididae.
UCCUGUGAGGCCGGCGGUGCAGAACCACGGCAGAGGAGGAGGAAAAUCCCGUUUCCCGUGGAAAGUGCAAUAAAGACACGAGGAAUUACACCGCAAAUGUUUCGGAUUAUGAACAGAUGAGGGUUUUUUUUUCUUUUUAAAUUAUUCUUACUUCUUUUGGCCGAAGAGUGUGAAGUUGUCCUUUCACAUCCAGCAUGUGUAAGGAGAGAUAAAGCCGAUGAGCCAAAAAAGGGUCCGUUCUGCAGGCUGCGGUCGGUCUGAAAGAGUGGGGGGAAUAAGGGCCAUUCCCAAAGGCUAGGAAGGGGGGUUGGGGGGUGGCCAAAACGUGGACCAGCCCCGGUGAGGUCAAAUGCCUCGGACCACGACAACGUAACUGCGGUGAUGUCAUUAAAAAAAAAAACAAAAAAAAAAACGCAAAUGCUCCCUCCUAUCCGUGCACAAUCUCCAUCCAUUAGAGAGCGCGCGGGGACGAGUCCUCCGCGUGGCAAGCAGCAUCAUCUCACACAAGGAAGGAAACGGAUGAAAAACGGGGUUUUUGCGCCGCAGUUUCAACGCUUUAACAGAAGUAGCACCGAUUAAACAAUUAAGCAUGAAAGAACUUAACCAAGAGGGGCGUUCCGGAGCUGGAAGCGUCUGCUGUCAUCCAACAUCGGCGCUGUUUUCCGAUCGCUAUUCUCGCCUCGCGCUCCAUCAAAAUCCGAACACAUCGGAUUACCGGAUUACACACAGCAGCGUUCGAGGAUGACGAUGAUGGUGAUGAUGACGAUGAUGUCGCGAAAUAAUGCAGCGACGUCGUGCACGUGUCAACCCCGCUCACUUUUUCCUCCGAAAUGGAAGCAGCUCCACACAUUUAGGUCAGUAUGUGGGAUUUUUUUUUUUUUUUUUUUUUUUUUGUCACAGGAGUCAACAAUAACAGGCGGCGGAACAUGUGAUGGCUCAUGCGCAGGAGCAACUGCAGGGGGAAAUCAGUUUAUGGCACCUUGUGACCAACUUUGAACAAGCUCGGACGCGUGCACGCGUGUCAAAGUUGUAUAGCCUCUCGCAAAA